RNAcentral lists this ribosomal RNA (497 nucleotides) under uncultured bacterium. RNAcentral describes it as "partial 16S ribosomal RNA". It matches the Rfam family "Bacterial small subunit ribosomal RNA", at positions 28 to 507 of the family's 1533-position model. The record is from RNAcentral.
GACGAACGCUGGCGGCGUGCCUAAUACAUGCAAGUAGAACGCUGAAGAGAGGAGCUUGCUCUUCUUGGAUGAGUUGCGAACGGGUGAGUAACGCGUAGGUAACCUGCCUUGUAGCGGGGGAUAACUAUUGGAAACGAUAGCUAAUACCGCAUAACAAUGGAUGACCCAUGUCAUUUAUUUGAAAGGGGCAAAUGCUCCACUACAAGAUGGACCUGCGUUGUAUUAGCUAGUAGGUGAGGUAACGGCUCACCUAGGCGACGAUACAUAGCCGACCUGAGAGGGUGAUCGGCCAGACUGGGAGUGAGACACGGCCCAGACUGCUACGGGAGGCAGCAGUAGGGAAUCUUCGGCAAUGGGGGGAAACCUGACCGAGCAACGCCGCGUGAGUGAAGAAGGUUGUCGGAUCGUAAAGCUCUGUUGUAAGUCAAGAACGAGUGUGAGAGUGGAAAGUUCACACUGUGACGGUAGCUUAACAGAAAGGGACGGCUAACUACGUG